Molecule: non-coding RNA, 158 nt
Organism: Eubacterium sp. CAG:252
Lineage: Bacteria; Bacillati; Bacillota; Clostridia; Eubacteriales; Eubacteriaceae
Source: Rfam
CUUGAAAGCGGAUUGUGCUGUUUCUUAUACUUUCCCUUAAUUCACAGCUAUGUGGGUACAAGGAUGUACCCACAAAUGAAGCCGCGCCAAGGACGGCGCGUCCGAAUGGCAGCGUCAACAUAACUAACUAUAUUAACCAGUCCUAAUUAGUAAUCAUU